AGUGAACGCUGGCGGUAGGCCUAACACAUGCAAGUCGAACGGCAGCACAGUAAGAGCUUGCUCUUACGGGUGGCGAGUGGCGGACGGGUGAGGAAUACAUCGGAAUCUACUUUUUCGUGGGGGAUAACGUAGGGAAACUUACGCUAAUACCGCAUACGACCUACGGGUGAAAGCAGGGGAUCUUCGGACCUUGCGCGAUUGAAUGAGCCGAUGUCGGAUUAGCUAGUUGGCGGGGUAAAGGCCCACCAAGGCGACGAUCCGUAGCUGGUCUGAGAGGAUGAUCAGCCACACUGGAACUGAGACACGGUCCAGACUCCUACGGGAGGCAGCAGUGGGGAAUAUUGGACAAUGGGCGCAAGCCUGAUCCAGCCAUAGCGCGUGGGUGAAGAAGGCCUUCGGGUUGUAAAGCCCUUUUGUUGGGAGAGAAAAGCAGCAGGUUAAUACCCCGCUGUUCUGACGGUACCCAAAGAAUAAGCACCGGCUAACUUCGUG
This 492-nucleotide ribosomal RNA is filed under the name uncultured bacterium. RNAcentral describes it as "partial 16S ribosomal RNA". It matches the Rfam family "Bacterial small subunit ribosomal RNA", at positions 29 to 507 of the family's 1533-position model. The record is from RNAcentral.